AUACGUAGGGUGCAAGCGUUAAUCGGAAUUACUGGGCGUAAAGCGUGCGCAGGCGGUUUUGUAAGACAGUGGUGAAAUCCCCGGGCUCAACCUGGGAACUGCCAUUGUGACUGCAAGGCUGGAGUGCGGCCGAGGGGGAUGGAAUUCCGCGUGUAGCAGUGAAAUGCGUUGAUCAGCGGAGGAACACCCACGGCGAAGGCAAUCCCCUGGGCCUGCACUGACGCUCAUGCACGAAAGGGUGGGGAGCAAACAGGGUUAGAAUCCCUGGUAGUCCACGCCCUAAACGAUGUCAACUGGUUGUUGGGGAUUUAUUUUCUCAGUAACGAAGCUAACGCGUGAAGUUGACCGCCUGGGGAGUACGGCCGCAAGGUUAAAACUCAAAUGAAUUGGCGGGG
RNAcentral lists this ribosomal RNA (395 nucleotides) under uncultured bacterium. RNAcentral's name for it is "partial 16S ribosomal RNA". It matches the Rfam family "Bacterial small subunit ribosomal RNA", at positions 523 to 918 of the family's 1533-position model. The record is from RNAcentral.